Molecule: ribosomal RNA, 465 nt
Filed under: Vreelandella stevensii
Lineage: Bacteria; Pseudomonadati; Pseudomonadota; Gammaproteobacteria; Oceanospirillales; Halomonadaceae
Description: partial 16S ribosomal RNA
Rfam family: Bacterial small subunit ribosomal RNA
Source: RNAcentral
CCUACGGGGGGCAGCAGUGGGGAAUAUUGGACAAUGGGGGGAACCCUGAUCCAGCCAUGCCGCGUGUGUGAAGAAGGCCCUCGGGUUGUAAAGCACUUUCAGUGAGGAAGAACGCCUGGUGGUUAAUACCCAUCAGGAAAGACAUCACUCACAGAAGAAGCACCGGCUAACUCCGUGCCAGCAGCCGCGGUAAUACGGAGGGUGCGAGCGUUAAUCGGAAUUACUGGGCGUAAAGCGCGCGUAGGUGGCUUGAUAAGCCGGUUGUGAAAGCCCCGGGCUCAACCUGGGAACGGCAUCCGGAACUGCCAAGCUAGAGUGCAGGAGAGGAAGGUAGAAUUCCCGGUGUAGCGGUGAAAUGCGUAGAGAUCGGGAGGAAUACCAGUGGCGAAGGCGGCCUUCUGGACUGACACUGACACUGAGGUGCGAAAGCGUGGGUAGCAAACAGGAUUAGCUACCCGGGUAGUC